Molecule: non-coding RNA, 84 nt
Organism: Populus trichocarpa (black cottonwood)
Lineage: Eukaryota; Viridiplantae; Streptophyta; Magnoliopsida; Malpighiales; Salicaceae
Source: Rfam
CAGAAAUGGAGGUUCCUUCCAGCCUCAAGCAUCUUUAAGAUGGUGGCGAUGUCUAUUUUGGGCUGAAGGGAGCUCCCAAUUCUU